GGCCAUAGAUCAGUAGUAGGACAUCUGCUUUGAAUGCAGAAGGUUGCAGGUUCAAUCUCUGACACCUCAAGGUGGGUCU
Non-coding RNA from Podarcis lilfordi (Lilford's wall lizard), 79 nucleotides. Lineage: Eukaryota; Metazoa; Chordata; Lepidosauria; Squamata; Lacertidae. The record is from the annotation of a GenBank genome assembly.